Molecule: long non-coding RNA, 654 nt
Organism: Rhea pennata
Lineage: Eukaryota; Metazoa; Chordata; Aves; Rheiformes; Rheidae
Exons: 5
Source: RefSeq, a predicted model, not a curated record
GCGGUGUCGCGGGUCGCCCGCGGCGCCUCCCGCCGCCUUCUGCCGCCCCUCGGGGUUUUGUAUUUAUUUAAGCAGCUGCGGUGGGAAAUCUGCCAGUGUAACCGUUCUUCUGUGGGAGCGGCGGCACUAACGUACGGCAGCUGAGCGCGCGCGGUAGCGGUUUUACCAGUAUGGCUACUUCAAGUCUGAAAGCGCCAGAAAAACCAGUUCCUGCCCUUCCUGGCCCAUGACCACUUGUUCCUGCUCCCAAGCCUUAGUCUACUGCCCCAUCACUUGUGCCAGUGAGGUGACAUUCAAUCACACGUUUACACAAAUGGAAACAUGGCAUUCAUGAGUCACUGAUCUUAAUGUGGGAUUACGAACAAAAACCUAUGCUUGACACCUACCUUUAGUGGUUCUGUGCUUUGGCAGGAAAUCUCCUUGGAUGUUAGUAACCAGCAACUGCAGAUGGGCUGGAACAGCUGAAGAGGGAAAAUCUGAAGUGAUUUUUACACAUAGAUCAUUUUAAAUUGCUGUUGUGUGGGAGUACAAAGGCUGAAUUUUGCCAUUAGUCAUUUCCAGGGCAACAGACUGUGAGGAUGUAUAUUCAAGAUUACAACUUCACCGUUGGAUCAAGCAAUAGCAACUAAAUAGUGAUGGCAAGCACUUACUUAA